GACGAACGCUGGCGGCGUGCUUAACACAUGCAAGUCGAACGUGAUUUUUAAGGAAAGCCCUUCGGGGAAGGAAUUAAAAUGAAAGUGGCGAACGGGUGAGUAACACGUGAGCAACCUACCUUACACAGGGGGAUAGCCGUUGGAAACGACGAUUAAUACCGCAUGAGACCACAGAAUCGCAUGAUAUAGGGGUCAAAGAUUUAUCGGUGUAAGAAGGGCUCGCGUCUGAUUAGCUAGUUGGAAGGGUAAAGGCCUACCAAGGCGACGAUCAGUAGCCGGUCUGAGAGGAUGAACGGCCACAUUGGAACUGAGACACGGUCCAAACUCCUACGGGAGGCAGCAGUGGGGAAUAUUGCACAAUGGGGGGAGCCCUGACGCAGCGACGCCGCGUGAGCGAAGAAGGUUUUCGAAUCGUAAAGCUCUGUCCUAUGAGAAGAUAANGACGGU
RNAcentral lists this ribosomal RNA (447 nucleotides) under uncultured bacterium. RNAcentral describes it as "bacterial SSU rRNA". It matches the Rfam family "Bacterial small subunit ribosomal RNA", at positions 28 to 458 of the family's 1533-position model. The record is from RNAcentral.